This 1225-nucleotide long non-coding RNA is filed under the name Danio rerio (zebrafish). RNAcentral's name for it is "lncRNA si:dkey-263b2.2 (ENSDARG00000096732.2)". Lineage: Eukaryota; Metazoa; Chordata; Actinopteri; Cypriniformes; Danionidae. The record is from RNAcentral.
AUGCUGCGCCCCAAUUUGCUUACUUAUACUGCACCCUAAAAGUAUGUACUUUUUUUAUGAAGGAAAAAUUUAUACUUUUAAGUGUGUAACAGAAGAGUAUGCAAGCUUUGGGACAUACUACUAACUCAUUAACAGAUCGUUGUGUUGCUUAGUUAUGAGCCCUGUCAGUCAUCCACACAUCCUCCACAUUUCUAUGUUAAUAUCCAAACACGUCUUUAUAUAAGUUCAGUAUUGUUGUUGCAGAUGAAAUGCAAUUUUACACGAUUUAAAUAUUUUCCAGUGGGCUAUUCAUUAACAGUCAUUCAAACAUCUUUACCCAGCCUGUCUACUUGAUGUUUGGUCUCAUGCGUCCAUCAUGUUUAUAGUUUAUUUACACUUUUUACCCGCAUUUGUAAUUCUAAUAAAGUUCAUGUCCAACAUGCAAUGUAUUGUAUUCUAGAAACAUCCUUGCAGGUGUGUUGAAGCAAGUUGAAGUUAAAAUCUGCAGGACAUCGGCCCUUCAGGACCGAGUUUGCGAAUUGACAAAUUAUAAUAUAUGUGGUACCAAUGAAUCAUCAAGUCAAUUAUGGGAGUGCUUUGUUAAAUAGUUCUGAGGCUUAACGAGAGAUGUAUAGAAGAUGUAUAUUAUUAGAUGUAUAUCAACGAUUACAAAAAAAUUAAGUAAUGGUUUUGGACUAGCUCUGCAAAUAGAGGUACUGUAAACUGUAUUGUUUAUCCUUGGUUUCAAUCAAACUAAAUCUGCCAAAUAAGAAUAGACCCUUAAAUAGGAAGGCUUGAAUUAAAGACAAAUAAACAAAUCAAAAAGUUGACAUGAUGUCAUAGGAUGUGACAAUAAAAAGAGAAGAUGCUUAGUUUUUCUCUUUAUCACUGCAGUGUUGCUCAUUACAGUUUAAUACAGAUCUUUAAGAGGUUGCAUUUUUGUGUCUUAAUGUGAGGUGAAUGUGUUACCCACUGCACCACAGAUAAAGAAGGUUGCUGGUUCAAGCCCCGGCUGGGUCAGUUGGCAUUUUUGUGUGGAGUUUGCAUAUUCUCCCCGUGUUCACGUGGGUUUCCUCUGGGUGCUCCAGUUUCCCCCACAGUCCAAAGACAUGUGGUACAGGCGAAUUUAGUAGGCUAAAUUGUCCGUAGUGUACGAGUGUGAAUAAGUGUGUAUAGAUGUUUCCCAGAGGUGGGUUGCAGCUGGAAGGGCAUCCGCUGCGUAAACAUAUGCUGGAUAAGUUUGCGG